RNAcentral lists this ribosomal RNA (499 nucleotides) under uncultured bacterium. RNAcentral describes it as "partial 16S ribosomal RNA". It matches the Rfam family "Bacterial small subunit ribosomal RNA", at positions 28 to 507 of the family's 1533-position model. The record is from RNAcentral.
GACGAACGCUGGCGGCGUGCUUAACACAUGCAAGUCGAACGGGCCUGUCUUCUUUUUUGGGGGUGGGUUGAGUGGCGAACGGGUGAGUAUCACGUGAGUAACCUGCCCUUCGGUCCUGGAUAACCGCUUGAAAGGGCGGCUAAUACGGGGUGGUCCGGUUGGUCCGCAUGGGCUGGUCGGGAUAGAUUCACUGUUUUUGGUGUUUCGGCGGGGGAUGGGCUCGCGGCCUAUCAGCUUGUUGGUGGGGUGAUGGCCUACCAAGGCGGUGACGGGUAGCCGGCCGGAGAGGGUGGGCGGCCACACUGGGACUGAGAUACGGCCCAGACUCCUGCGGGAGGCAGCGGUGGGGGGUAUUGCACAAUGGGCGGAAGCCUGAUGCAGCGACGUCGCGUGAGGGAUGGAGGCCUUCGGGUUGUGAACCUCUGUUUCCGGUGGUGAAGGCCCUGUCCGUGUGGUGGGGUUGACGGUAGCCGGGGAUGAAGCGCCGGCUAACUACGUG